GCUCAUUAAAUCAGUUAUCGUAUAUUUGAUAGUACCUACUACAUGGAUAACCGUGGUAAUUCUAGAGCUAAUACAUGCUUAAAAUCCCGACUUCGGAAGGGAUGUAUUUAUUAGAUUAAAAACCAAUGCCCUUCGGGGCUCACUGGUGAUUCAUAAUAACUUCUCGAAUCGCAUGGCCUUGUGCCGGCGAUGGUUCAUUCAAAUUUCUGCCCUAUCAACUUUCGACGGCUGGGUCUUGGCCAGCCGUGGUUACAACGGGUAACGGAGGGUUAGGGCUUGACCCCGGAGAAGGAGCCUGAGAAACGGCUACUACAUCCAAGGAAGGCAGCAGGCGCGCAAAUUACCCAAUCCCGACUCGGGGAGGUAGUGACAAUAAAUACUGAUACAGGGCUCUUUUGGGUCUUGUAAUUGGAAUGAGUACAAUUUAAAUCCCUUAACGAGGAACAAUUGGAGGGCAAGUCUGGUGCCAGCAGCCGCGGUAAUUCCAGCUCCAAUAGCGUAUAUUAAAGUUGUUGCAGUUAAAAAGCUCGUAGUUGAACCUUGGGCCUGGCUGGCCGGUCUGCCUCACCGCAUGCACUGGUCCGGCCGGGCCUUUCCCUCUGGGGAGCCGCAUGCCCUUCACUGGGUGUGUCGGGGAACCAGGACUUUUACUGUGAAAAAAUUAGAGUGUUCAAAGCAGGCAUAUGCUCGAAUACAUUAGCAUGGAAUAAUAGAAUAGGACGUCGCGGUUCUAUUUUGUUGGUUUCUAGGACCGCCGUAAUGAUUAAUAGGGACAGUCGGGGGCAUCAGUAUUCAAUCGUCAGAGGUGAAAUUCUUGGAUCGAUUGAAGACUAACUACUGCGAAAGCAUUUGCCAAGGAUGUUUUCAUUAAUCAGGAACGAAAGUUAGGGGAUCGAAAACGAUCAGAUACCGUUGUAGUCUUAACCAUAAACUAUGCCGACUAGGGAUCGGGCGGUGUUAUUUCUUGACCCGCUCGGCACCUUACACGAAAGUAAAGUUUUUGGGUUCUGGGGGGAGUAUGGUCGCAAGGCUGAAACUUAAAGAAAUUGACGGAAGGGCACCACAAGGGGUGGAGCCUGCGGCUUAAUUUGACUCAACACGGGGAAACUCACCAGGUCCAGACACAACUAGGAUUGACAGAUUGAGAGCUCUUUCUUGAUUUUGUGGGUGGUGGUGCAUGGCCGUUCUUAGUUGGUGGAGUGAUUUGUCUGCUUAAUUGCGAUAACGAACGAGACCUUAACCUGCUAAAUAGCCCGUGCCGCCUAGGCGG
RNAcentral lists this ribosomal RNA (1270 nucleotides) under Diaporthe phaseolorum. RNAcentral describes it as "SSU rRNA". It matches the Rfam family "Eukaryotic small subunit ribosomal RNA", at positions 96 to 1376 of the family's 1831-position model. Lineage: Eukaryota; Fungi; Ascomycota; Sordariomycetes; Diaporthales; Diaporthaceae. The record is from RNAcentral.